GACGAACGCUGGCGGCGUGCUUAACACAUGCAAGUCGAACGGAAAGGCCCUGCUUUUGUGGGGUGCUCGAGUGGCGAACGGGUGAGUAACACGUGAGUAACCUGCCCUUGACUUUGGGAUAACUUCAGGAAACUGGGGCUAAUACCGGAUAGGAGCUCCUGCUGCAUGGUGGGGGUUGGAAAGUUUCGGCGGUUGGGGAUGGACUCGCGGCUUAUCAGCUUGUUGGUGGGGUAGUGGCUUACCAAGGCUUUGACGGGUAGCCGGCCUGAGAGGGUGACCGGCCACAUUGGGACUGAGAUACGGGCCCGACUCCUACGGGAGGCAGCAGUGGGGAAUAUUGCACAAUGGGCGGAAGCCUGAUGCAGCAACGCCGCGUGCGGGAUGACGGCCUUCGGGUUGUAAACCGCUUUCGCCUGUGACGAAGCGUGAGUGACGGUAAUGGGUAAAGAAGCACCGGCUAACUACGUG
This 468-nucleotide ribosomal RNA is filed under the name uncultured bacterium. Its description in RNAcentral is "partial 16S ribosomal RNA". It matches the Rfam family "Bacterial small subunit ribosomal RNA", at positions 28 to 507 of the family's 1533-position model. The record is from RNAcentral.